AGCGAACGCUGGCGGCAGGCCUAACACAUGCAAGUCGAACGAACACUUCGGAGUUAGUGGCGGACGGGGGAGGAACACGAGGGAACGUGCCUUUGGGUUUGGAAUAACUCAGGGAAACUUGUGCUAAUACCGAAUGUGCCCUUCGGGGGAAAGAUUUAUCGCCAUUAGAGCGGCCCGCGUCAGAUUAGCUAGUUGGGGAGGUAACGGCUCACCAAGGCGACGAUCAGUAGCUGGUCUGAGAGGAUGACCAGCCACACUGGGACUGAGACACGGCCCAGACUCCUACGGGAGGCAGCAGUGGGGAAUCUUGCGCAAUGGGCGAAAGCCUGACGCAGCCAUGCCGCGUGAAUGAUGAAGGUCUUAGGAUUGUAAAAUUCUUUCACCGGGGACGAUAUUGACGGUACCCGGAGAAGAAGCCCCGGCUAACUUCGUG
Molecule: ribosomal RNA, 433 nt
Filed under: uncultured bacterium
Lineage: Bacteria
Description: partial 16S ribosomal RNA
Rfam family: Bacterial small subunit ribosomal RNA
Source: RNAcentral